GUGAGGAAUUUUCCGCAACGGGCGAAAGCCUGACGGAGCAAUGCCGCGUGAAGGAUGAAGGCCUAUGGGUUGUAAACUUCUUUUCUCAGAAAAGAAUUAUGACGGUAUCUGAGGAAUAAGCAUCGGCUAACUCUGUGCCAGCAGCCGCGGUAAGACAGAGGAUGCAAGCGUUAUCCGGAAUGAUUGGGCGUAAAGCGUCUGUAGGUUGUUUAAAAAGUAUUCUGUCAAAGAUUAGGGCUUAACCCUAGAUAGGCAGAAUAAACUUUUAAGCUAGAGUUUGGUAGAGGCAGAGGGAAUUCCCGGUGGAGCGGUGAAAUGCGUAGAUAUCGGGAGGAACACCAAAGGCGAAGGCACUCUGCUGGGCCAAUACUAACACUGAGAGACGAAAGCGAGGGGAGCAAAUGGGAUUAGAUACCCUGGUAGUCC
RNAcentral lists this ribosomal RNA (426 nucleotides) under uncultured bacterium. RNAcentral's name for it is "partial 16S ribosomal RNA". It matches the Rfam family "Bacterial small subunit ribosomal RNA", at positions 354 to 796 of the family's 1533-position model. The record is from RNAcentral.